Gastrolobium bilobum is the source of this 1019-nucleotide long non-coding RNA. RefSeq lists it as uncharacterized. The record is from RefSeq and is a predicted model, not a curated record. Lineage: Eukaryota; Viridiplantae; Streptophyta; Magnoliopsida; Fabales; Fabaceae. The transcript has 4 exons.
UCUUACUUCUCUAUAUAUCUUUCGUUGUCCAAAUCUUAAGAAACUAGACUACAAGGGUCUCUGCCACCUAUCCUCUCUUACAAAAUUGUGUCUUGGUUACUGCUCCAGACUCCAAUGCUUACCAGAGGAGGGUUUGCCCAAAUCCAUUUCAAGUCUAUAUAUUCAGGGCAAUUGUGGGUCACUCAAUCAGCGUUGCCAGAAACCCAAUGGCAAAGAUUGGGGGAAGAUUUCUCACAUUGAAUGCAUAAGGAUUGGUGGUAACAUAAUCACAUAAUCCAUUUCUGAAAGAGUCGUGGACAGAUUCUCAUAUUGUCUAACUUUUGAUCAGGACGCCAGUAAAAUGGUGAAGGUGGUGACGGGCUCUCUUCAAACAGACAAAUCCUUUGUGGUUCUAUAGGUCUGAGCUGUUUCGUGGGUUGGAAGGUCAUUCGUGUGAAACUUUGGGAUGCUAGAACAGGGUGAGAGCUUUGCUCAUUCCACGGGCACAAAAAUAUUGUGUUGUGAGAUCUUCAACAUAGAAAGAAAUUGUCCGUUUACAUGGCGUUCCAAAGUCGAUUGUUUCGGACAGAGACCAUGUGUUUAUGAGCAUGUUUUGGAAAGUGUUAUUCCGGAUGUCAGGAACUAAGCUACGUUUUAGUAGUUCUUAUCAUCCACAAACGGACGGACAAUCCGAGGUGGUGAAUAGAACGGUUGAGACGUAUCUGCGGUGUUUUAUUAAUGGUCAUCCUCGUGACUGGGCUAAGUGGGUUCCUUGGGCAGAAUUCUGGUUCAACACCUCUUAUAAUAGAUCAAUUGGCAUGACACUAUUUAAGGCUGUGUACGGGUAGGAUCCCCCAUCCUUGUUUUGUUUUGAAAAAGGAGGAACUCAAGUAGAUGCAUUGGACCAAUGGCUGGCUGCUAGGGAUGCAGUGGUGACUAAUUUAAGACAAAAUCUGAAUAGGGCUCAGCAAUGUAUGAAAUUCCAAGCCGAUCAGAAAAGAAGAGAUGUUCAGUUUGCCAUUGGUGACAGUGUGUUCUUA